CUACGGGGGGCUGCAGUGAGGAAUAUUGCACAAUGGGGGGAACCCUGAUGCAGCAACGCCGCGUGGAGGAUGACGCAUUUCGGUGUGUAAACUCCUUUUAUAUGUCAAGAAAAUGACGGUAGCAUAUGAAUAAGCACCGGCUAACUCCGUGCCAGCAGCCGCGGUAAUACGGAGGGUGCAAGCGUUACUCGGAAUCACUGGGCGUAAAGGACGCGUAGGCGGGUUGGAAAGUCAGGUGUGAAAUCCUACAGCUUAACUGUAGAACUGCGCUUGAAACUUCUAAUCUAGGGUAUGGGAGGGGGAGAUGGAAUUAGUGGUGUAGGGGUAAAAUCCGUAGAAAUCACUAGGAAUACCUAAAGCGAAGGCGAUCUCCUGGAACAUUACUGACGCUAAGGCGUGAAAGCGUGGGGAGCAAACAGGAUUAGAUACCCCCGUAGUC
RNAcentral lists this ribosomal RNA (439 nucleotides) under uncultured bacterium. RNAcentral describes it as "partial 16S ribosomal RNA". It matches the Rfam family "Bacterial small subunit ribosomal RNA", at positions 339 to 795 of the family's 1533-position model. The record is from RNAcentral.